RNAcentral lists this small RNA (27 nucleotides) under Bombyx mori (domestic silkworm). RNAcentral describes it as "ovarian small RNA-34037". The record is from RNAcentral. Lineage: Eukaryota; Metazoa; Arthropoda; Insecta; Lepidoptera; Bombycidae.
UGCGUUUCGGUUUGAAAAGCGGGGCAG